GACGAACGCUGGCGGCGUGCUUAACACAUGCAAGUCGUACGGUAAGGCCCUUUCGGGGGUACACGAGUGGCGAACGGGCGAGUAACACGUGAGUAACCCGCCCACAACUUUGGGAUAACGCUAGGAAACUGGUGCUAAUACUGGAAAUGUGCUCCUGCUGCAUGGUGGGGGCUGGAAAGCUCCGGCGGUUGUGGAUGGACUCGCGGCCUAUCAGCUUGUUGGUGGGGUAGUGGCCUACCAAGGCGGCCACCGGUAGCCGGCCUGCGAGGGUGACCGGCCAUCUUGAGAUUGAGAUACGGCCCGGCCUCCUACUGGACGCCGCCGUGGAGAAUAAUGCACAAUCGGCGCAAGCCUGAUCCAGCACCGCCGCGUGCUGGAUGACGGCCUUCGGGUUGUAAGCCGCUUUCAGCAGGGUCGAAGCUUUUUGUGACGGUACCUGCAGAAGAAGCACCGGCUAACUCCGUG
Molecule: ribosomal RNA, 465 nt
Filed under: uncultured bacterium
Lineage: Bacteria
Description: partial 16S ribosomal RNA
Rfam family: Bacterial small subunit ribosomal RNA
Source: RNAcentral